Molecule: small RNA, 39 nt
Filed under: Sinorhizobium meliloti 2011
Lineage: Bacteria; Pseudomonadati; Pseudomonadota; Alphaproteobacteria; Hyphomicrobiales; Rhizobiaceae
Description: putative ncRNA
Source: RNAcentral
GCGGACUAUUCCAGACGAAAGACAAUGAUAUGCUGCAAA